UGGGGAAUCUUGGACAAUGGGGGCAACCCUGAUCCAGCCAUGCCGCGUGAGUGAUGAAGGCCUUAGGGUCGUAAAGCUCUUUCGCCUGUGAAGAUAAUGACGGUAGCAGGUAAAGAAACCCCGGCUAACUCCGUGCCAGCAGCCGCGGUAAUACGGAGGGGACUAGCGUUGUUCGGAAUUACUGGGCGUAAAGAGUUCGUAGGCGGACUAGCAAGUUAGAGGUGAAAUCCCAGGGCUCAACCUUGGAACUGCCUUUAAAAGCUGCUAGUCUAGAGACCGGAAGAGGUUAGGGGAAUACCUAGUGUAGAGGUGAAAUUCGUAGAUAUUAGGUGGAACACCAGUGGCGAAGGCGCCUAACUGGUCCGGUACUGACGCUGAGGAACGAAAGCGUGGGGAGCAAAC
RNAcentral lists this ribosomal RNA (402 nucleotides) under uncultured bacterium. RNAcentral describes it as "bacterial SSU rRNA". It matches the Rfam family "Bacterial small subunit ribosomal RNA", at positions 355 to 773 of the family's 1533-position model. The record is from RNAcentral.